Molecule: ribosomal RNA, 253 nt
Filed under: uncultured bacterium
Lineage: Bacteria
Description: partial 16S ribosomal RNA
Rfam family: Bacterial small subunit ribosomal RNA
Source: RNAcentral
GACGAACCGUGCGAACGUUGUUCGGAAUCACUGGGCGUAAAGGGCGCGUAGGUGGCCCGUCAAGCGCGCGGUGAAAGCCCGGGGCUCAACCCCGGGUCGGCCGUGCGGACUGGCGGGCUCGAGCACUGUAGGGGCGGGUGGAAUUCCGGGUGUAGCGGUGAAAUGCGCAGAUAUCAGGAGGAACACCGGUGGCGAAGGCGGGACUCUGGGCCGAUACUGACGCUGAGGAGCGAAAGCUAGGGGAGCAAACGGG